This 1091-nucleotide ribosomal RNA is filed under the name Halomonas sp. A1(2009). Its description in RNAcentral is "bacterial SSU rRNA". It matches the Rfam family "Bacterial small subunit ribosomal RNA", at positions 36 to 1125 of the family's 1533-position model. Lineage: Bacteria; Pseudomonadati; Pseudomonadota; Gammaproteobacteria; Oceanospirillales; Halomonadaceae. The record is from RNAcentral.
GGGGGGGGGGGCGGCCUACCAUGCAGUCGAGCGGUAACAGGGGUAGCUUGCUACCCGCUGACGAGCGGCGGACGGGUGAGUAAUGCAUAGGAAUUUACCCGAUAGUGGGGGAUAACCUGGGGAAACCCAGGCUAAUACCGCAUACGUCCUACGGGAGAAAGGGGGCUUCGGCUCCCGCUAUCGGAUGAGCCUAUGCCGGAUUAGCUGGUUGGUGAGGUAAUGGCUCACCAAGGCGACGAUCCGUAGCUGGUCUGAGAGGAUGAUCAGCCACAUCGGGACUGAGACACGGCCCGAACUCCUACGGGAGGCAGCAGUGGGGAAUAUUGGACAAUGGGCGCAAGCCUGAUCCAGCCAUGCCGCGUGUGUGAAGAAGGCCCUCGGGUUGUAAAGCACUUUCAGCGAGGAAGAACGCCUGGCGGUUAAUACCCGCCAGGAAAGACAUCACUCGCAGAAGAAGCACCGGCUAACUCCGUGCCAGCAGCCGCGGUAAUACGGAGGGUGCAAGCGUUAAUCGGAAUUACUGGGCGUAAAGCGCGCGUAGGUGGCUUGAUAAGCCGGUUGUGAAAGCCCCGGGCUCAACCUGGGAACGGCAUCCGGAACUGUCAGGCUAGAGUGCAGGAGAGGAAGGUAGAAUUCCCGGUGUAGCGGUGAAAUGCGUAGAGAUCGGGAGGAAUACCAGUGGCGAAGGCGGCCUUCUGGACUGACACUGACACUGAGGUGCGAAAGCGUGGGUAGCAAACAGGAUUAGAUACCCUGGUAGUCCACGCCGUAAACGAUGUCGACCAGCCGUUGGGUGCCUAGCGCACUUUGUGGCGAAGUUAACGCGAUAAGUCGACCGCCUGGGGAGUACGGCCGCAAGGUUAAAACUCAAAUGAAUUGACGGGGGCCCGCACAAGCGGUGGAGCAUGUGGUUUAAUUCGAUGCAACGCGAAGAACCUUACCUACUCUUGACAUCCUGCGAACUUGUGAGAGAUCACUGGGUGCCUUCGGGAGCGCAGAGACAGGUGCUGCAUGGCUGUCGUCAGCUCGUGUGUGAAAUGUUGGGUUAAGUCCCGUAACGAGCGCAACCCUUGUCCUUAUUUGCCAGCACG